GAUGAACGCUGGCGGCGUGCUUAACACAUGCAAGUCGAACGAUGAAGCCCAGCUUGCUGGGUGGAUUAGUGGCGAACGGGUGAGUAACACGUGAGUAACCUGCCCUUAACUCCGGGAUAAGCCUGGGAAACUGGGUCUAAUACCGGAUAGGAGCGCCUACCGCAUGGUGGGUGUUGGAAAGAUUUAUCGGUUUUGGAUGGACUCGCGGCCUAUCAGCUUGUUGGUGGGGUAAUGGCUCACCAAGGCGACGACGGGUAGCCGGCCUGAGAGGGUGACCGGCCACACUGGGACUGAGACACGGCCCAGACUCCUACGGGAGGCAGCAGUGGGGAAUAUUGCACAAUGGGCGAAAGCCUGAUGCAGCGACGCCGCGUGAGGGAUGACGGCCUUCGGGUUGUAAACCUCUUUCAGUAGGGAAGAAGCGAAAGUGACGGUACCUGCAGAAGAAGCACCGGCUAACUACGUG
Molecule: ribosomal RNA, 466 nt
Filed under: uncultured bacterium
Lineage: Bacteria
Description: partial 16S ribosomal RNA
Rfam family: Bacterial small subunit ribosomal RNA
Source: RNAcentral